This 217-nucleotide long non-coding RNA is filed under the name Lathyrus oleraceus (garden pea). Its description in RNAcentral is "Pisum sativum (pea) long non-coding RNA (PSAT_LNC030521)". Lineage: Eukaryota; Viridiplantae; Streptophyta; Magnoliopsida; Fabales; Fabaceae. The record is from RNAcentral.
UCCUUUUGUGAGUUUGUAACCUUACCUCUUUCACCUUCUCAGCGCCUCCAAACGACUUAUCCAGAAUUUCUCAUACUUCUUUCGCUGACUCUACGUCACUAACAUUUUCAAAGUUAUCUGCAUCAACACAUUGAUGGAUUAUAAAGAGAGUUUUAUAAUCUUUCUUCUUCAAUUCUUUAUGUGCAACGUUUUCUUGAUCUGUCGCGUUUUCUACAAG